Molecule: unclassified non-coding RNA, 515 nt
Filed under: uncultured Glomus
Lineage: Eukaryota; Fungi; Glomeromycota; Glomeromycetes; Glomerales; Glomeraceae
Description: SSU rRNA
Rfam family: Eukaryotic small subunit ribosomal RNA
Source: RNAcentral
AGCAGCCGCGGUAAUUCCAGCUCCAAUAGCGUAUAUUAAAGUUGUUGCAGUUAAAAAGCUCGUAGUUGAAUUUCGGGAUUGACACAUCGGUCGUGCCUUAAGGGGUAUGAACUGGUGUAGUCAAUUUCUCACCUUCUGGAGAACCGCGAUGCCCUUAAUUGGGUGUCGCGGGGAACCAGGACCUUUACUUUGAAAAAAUUAGAGUGUUUAAAGCAGGCAUUUUGCUUGAAUACAUUAGCAUGGAAUAAUAAAAUAGGACGGCAUGAUUCUAUUUUGUUGGUUUCUAGGAUCACCGUAAUGAUUAAUAGGGAUAGUUGGGGGCAUUAGUAUUCAAUUGUCAGAGGUGAAAUUCUUGGAUUUAUUGAAGACUAACUACUGCGAAAGCAUUUGCCAAGGAUGUUUUCAUUAAUCAAGAACGAAAGUUAGGGGAUCGAAGACGAUCAGAUACCGUCGUAGUCUUAACCAUAAACUAUGCCGACUAGGAAUCAGACGAUGUUAAUUUUUUAAUGACUCGU